UACGUAGGGGGCGAGCGUUGUCCGGAAUGAUUGGGCGUAAAGGGCGCGUAGGCGGCUAAGUAAGUCUGGAGUGAAAGUCCUAUUUUCAAGGUAGGAAUUGCUUUGGAAACUGCAUAGCUUGAGUGCAGGAGAGGUUAUCGGAAUUCCCGGUGUAGCGGUGAAAUGCGUAGAGAUCGGGAGGAACACCAGUGGCGAAGGCGGGUAACUGGACUGCAACUGACGCUGAGGCGCGAAAGUGUGGGGAGCAAACAGG
This 253-nucleotide ribosomal RNA is filed under the name uncultured bacterium. RNAcentral's name for it is "partial 16S ribosomal RNA". It matches the Rfam family "Bacterial small subunit ribosomal RNA", at positions 524 to 776 of the family's 1533-position model. The record is from RNAcentral.